This is a small nucleolar RNA of Saccostrea echinata, 82 nucleotides long. RefSeq annotates it as small nucleolar RNA snR60/Z15/Z230/Z193/J17. NCBI's taxonomy places the organism in Eukaryota, Metazoa, Mollusca, Bivalvia, Ostreida, Ostreidae. The record is from RefSeq and is a predicted model, not a curated record. The transcript has a single exon.
AGAGUGCAGAUGAUGAGAUCAUAGUUCAUCAGAAAUGAAUUGAAGACCACAAAAUGUCUUUCGCUUCUAGCUGAUGCACCCU